GAUGAACGCUGGCGGCGUGCCUAAUACAUGCAAGUCGAGCGAACAGAUGAGGAGCUUGCUCCUCUGACGUUAGCGGCGGACGGGUGAGUAACACGUGGAUAACCUACCUAUAAGACUGGGAUAACUUCGGGAAACCGGAGCUAAUACCGGAUAAUAUAUUGAACCGCAGGGUUCAAUAGUGAAAGACGGUUUUGCGGACAUGUAUAGAUGGAUCAGCGCCGCAUUGGCUGGUUGGUAAGGUAACGGCUUAACGAGGCAACGAUGCGUAGCCGACCUGAGAGGGUGAUCGGCCACACUGGAACUGAGACACGGUCCAGACGCCUACGGGAGGCAGCAGGAGGGAAGCUUCCGCAAUGGGCGAAAGCCUGACGGAGCAACGCCGCGUGAGUGAUGAAGGUCUUCGGAUCGUAAACCUCUGUUAUUAGGGAAGAACAAAUGUGUAAGUAACUAUGCACGUCUUGACGGUACCUAAUCAGAAAGCCCCGGCUAACUACGUG
RNAcentral lists this ribosomal RNA (497 nucleotides) under uncultured bacterium. Its description in RNAcentral is "partial 16S ribosomal RNA". It matches the Rfam family "Bacterial small subunit ribosomal RNA", at positions 28 to 507 of the family's 1533-position model. The record is from RNAcentral.